Molecule: long non-coding RNA, 2436 nt
Filed under: Nicotiana tabacum (common tobacco)
Lineage: Eukaryota; Viridiplantae; Streptophyta; Magnoliopsida; Solanales; Solanaceae
Description: long non-coding RNA (NTAB_LNC009222)
Source: RNAcentral
CCAACUUGGGCAUUUCAAACCAUCAAACACUCACUUUUCUUUUCAAAAUAAAACCAUGGCUGCUGCUACAAUGGCUCUUUCUUCCCCUUCUUUCGCUGGACAGGCAGUGAAACUCUCCCCAUCUGCCCCAGAAAUCACCGGAAAUGGAAGGGUCUCCAUGAGAAAGACUGUCGCCAAACCCGUCGCAUCUAGCAGCCCAUGGUACGGCCCAGACCGUGUUAAGUACUUGGGUCCAUUCUCCGGUGAGUCCCCAAGCUACUUGACCGGUGAAUUCCCCGGUGAUUACGGGUGGGAUACUGCUGGACUUUCAGCAGACCCAGAAACCUUUGCCAAGAACCGUGAACUCGAGGUGAUCCACUGCAGAUGGGCUAUGCUUGGUGCUCUUGGAUGUGUCUUCCCCGAGCUCUUGGCCCGUAAUGGUGUCAAGUUUGGCGAGGCUGUGUGGUUCAAGGCUGGAUCCCAAAUCUUUAGCGAGGGUGGACUUGACUACUUGGGCAACCCAAGCUUGGUCCAUGCACAAAGCAUCUUGGCCAUCUGGGCUUGCCAAGUUAUCUUGAUGGGAGCCGUUGAGGGUUACCGUGUUGCUGGUGGGCCUCUUGGUGAGGUUGUCGACCCACUCUACCCUGGUGGCAGCUUUGACCCACUGGGCCUCGCUGAGGACCCAGAGGCAUUUGCUGAGCUCAAGGUAAAGGAGAUUAAGAACGGAAGACUUGCCAUGUUCUCUAUGUUCGGAUUCUUUGUUCAGGCCAUUGUUACUGGAAAAGGUCCAUUGGAGAACCUUGCUGACCAUCUUGCAGACCCAGUUAACAACAAUGCUUGGGCAUACGCCACAAACUUUGUCCCCGGAAAGUGAAUCUUAAAACAUUCUCAAAAUUCUGAUUGUUUGAUGGCCUUGUAAAGCUGUCGUGCGUUACCUGAUAAUAUAAUGAGAUUUUGUUUGUGUUUAAAUGACUGUUUAUUUCUGAGUUUCAUACCCAUUAAUCAAACAGCCACAAAAAAAAAAAAAAAAGAACACAGGAAAAAAGGCCUAAUGACCACUGGACAUUCGAGUAACUAAAAACACUGUAAAGCUGUUAAAAGCUUAAACUUGAUUUUACAGACUAGAGCAGCUUAUGGAAUUUAAUGGAUUCUCUUUAAAAUCUAUACAAGAUCUCACGUACUAAACAAGUUGACUACACUGUCUAUGUAUUUGCUUUAAGUUGCAAGCACUAUGCGAAGUAUAUACUAACAACAUAUUUGGUGGAAAAGAAUAUAUAUUUACUAACAUAGAGAUUUAUACAAAUUUGUAAAACUCUGUUGUUCAUUUUCUUGCCGGAAAAGCUUCGCAGAUGGUAUGCCAAUUCUGACUUUUACCUUUGAUGUCCGACAUCAUACAUGCAUUUUACUUUUGUGAAUCACAAUGUUCUGUCAAGGGUUGCUCGCCUAGUUAUCCCCUAACAGAUGCUAUCGCCACGGAAUGAUGGCAUUGACAAGUAGCUUAGAUCAAUGAAUUAACAAAUCAUGGUUAGAAAGAGAUCAACUACGACUUGCAGUUCUUGCCCUCAAAACAGCCUUAUCGUAAAGUUCUUCAUAUUGUGAUGCUGACGAAUCCCAACUAAAAUCUAUGUUCAUGUCCUUCUGAACCAGCUCUUUCCAAGUCUCAGCAUUGUUCAUGUAGUAGUUAAAUGCACGUUCCAAGGCGUUGUUGAAUCCCUGGUCAUGAAACAGUGCAACAUAAAACUCGUUUAAGAACAAUGCUUGAUGCUCGAUAUAAAGAACAAUGCUUGAUGCAGAGUCCGAACAGCAGUAAUUUGCUAAUGGGGCGCAAAACUGCACCACUAUUAUGUCUUGGACAACUUUUUACUAAUGUUUUAGGCUCUUAGCUAUUAAAGUGAGGUUACCUGUUCAUCAGCAGUCACAAACGUAAAUCCAUUUCUAAACUGAUCUGGGAUUGUGUCAUCGUCAACAUCGAAAACACUGCAAACAUAUUUGAAUGGUUAAAAAUAAAUAUGAAACAGUAUAACCAUGAACUCUGAUUAAUAAAGAAGUCCUGCUGUGUCGCGUUGACGAACCUAUCAUUCAAGCCCCCUGUUUUCCUAGCUAUUGGUAUAGACCCAUAUCUCAUCGCUAUCAUCUGCAGAAAUAGAAUUCGGAUUCAAACAUUAGAGCCAAAAAAAUACUGAGUUAUUUAAAAAGGUUCUUCAUUUACUAUAAAGUGUUCAAGCAAUUAUGGAAUGACCUGAGUAAGGCCGCAAGGCUCAAAGAUGGAUGGGAUGAUAAGCAUGUCAGAUGCUGCAUAAAUCAAAUGGGAAAGAGCCUCAUCAUACUUUAAUACCAACCGAGCAUGUUCGUGAUUUUGGAAAUGGUUUCUGAUAUCCUCAAACUCCCUCUGCACCAACAUUGAUGUAUGAGUUGACAGAUUGCUAAACAUUAUGCUAGGAUGAACUAGGGGUAGAG